RNAcentral lists this ribosomal RNA (292 nucleotides) under uncultured bacterium. Its description in RNAcentral is "partial 16S ribosomal RNA". It matches the Rfam family "Bacterial small subunit ribosomal RNA", at positions 505 to 796 of the family's 1533-position model. The record is from RNAcentral.
GUGCCAGCCGCCGCGGUAACACGGGGGGAGCAAGCGUUGUUCGGAAUCACUGGGCGUAAAGGGCGUGUAGGCGGUUUGGUAAGUGGGAUGUGAAAUGCCCCGGCUCACCCGGGGACCGGCAUCCCAAACUGCCAAGCUUGAGUAUGGGAGAGGAUGUGGGAAUUCCUGGUGUAGCGGUGAAAUGCGUAGAUAUCAGGAGGAACACCGGUGGCGAAGGCGCACAUCUGGCCCAAUACUGACGCUGAGGCGCGAAAGCUAGGGGAGCAAACGGGAUUAGAAACCCUCGUAGUCC